AUUUAAUCCACAAUUUAUUAAAGUUCAAAGUUGCAACAAAGUAAUCAAAUAUAGAGUGCAAGCCUUAUACACACCUCAGUUUGAAAAUGAUAUCAAUGGAGUAUUAUUAAUUGAAGUAGAUAAAUGGAAUUCCUAAUACAUUCUUUAAUGAAACAACAAAUUAUUAUAACACAUUUUUUAUUGAAAAUAAUAACGAUCUUUGGGACAAAAAAC
Long non-coding RNA from Aphis gossypii (cotton aphid), 213 nucleotides. RefSeq lists it as uncharacterized. The transcript is spliced from 3 exons. Lineage: Eukaryota; Metazoa; Arthropoda; Insecta; Hemiptera; Aphididae. The record is from RefSeq and is a predicted model, not a curated record.